Molecule: non-coding RNA, 72 nt
Organism: Ictidomys tridecemlineatus (thirteen-lined ground squirrel)
Lineage: Eukaryota; Metazoa; Chordata; Mammalia; Rodentia; Sciuridae
Source: Rfam
GGGGAUGUGGCUCAGUGGUAGGGCACUCGCCCAGCAGGUGAGAGGCACUGGGUUUGAUUCUCAACACCACCG